GAGACACCCUUAUGGGGCAGGACUUGCUUCAGUGGGGCUUUGGUCCUCACUGAGUCUGCCCCUUGAGUGUGUCGCU
RNAcentral lists this microRNA precursor (76 nucleotides) under Myotis lucifugus (little brown bat). Its description in RNAcentral is "mir-9229 microRNA precursor family". It matches the Rfam family "mir-9229 microRNA precursor family". The record is from Rfam by way of RNAcentral. Lineage: Eukaryota; Metazoa; Chordata; Mammalia; Chiroptera; Vespertilionidae.